Long non-coding RNA from Manis javanica (Malayan pangolin), 490 nucleotides. RefSeq lists it as uncharacterized. NCBI's taxonomy places the organism in Eukaryota, Metazoa, Chordata, Mammalia, Pholidota, Manidae. The record is from RefSeq and is a predicted model, not a curated record.
AGAAUGGUGUUGGCUUCCCAGAGCAUCUGUGAGGACAGCACAACCUUCUCGCACCCCCCUGCCCCUGAAGGACUCACCCCGCAGACCACCUGGCCUUGUGUCGAGUCACACACACGCGUCUCCGCUGGUCUGUGUCCACUUCUCAGACGUGCUUUGGUUUUUGAUGACGGGCCAGUUUUGAGUCCUGCGGAGAAGCGGGGGCAGGUGGACCCUGUUACCCACAUUGCUCCUAACUGACCAAGUUAACCUGGACCACCUGGCGGGCAGACGGCCCUGGGGCCUGAUCCCCCGCUGCCUUCUGCUCUCUGGAAACAAGCCCACAUGGAGGAAGGAACGAAGGGGGAAGUAAGGCAUUAUGUCUCCUCCACCGGAGCCCACAUGCUCCAAGGCCAGGUGCCUGGCUGGCGGGCUGGGGCACUGACUGCAGCCAGGUGACCAAGGAGGGCUUCUGGGAAGAGUCACUGCAGACUCGACGCACGGGAGCGGGGGG